AAAAAAAAAAAAAAAGAAAUAAAAAAGCAGAAGAAAAUCCUAGAGAUGCUGCCGUCGCUUGGGAAAACAAACAGCUAUCCAGGCACUUAAAAAAGAGGGAAACAAGGAGCGGUGACCAGAUGCAGGCAUCUGGUGAAAGAAUGAAUGCUGGGGACUGCAAUGGAUGCUCUUAUGCAUCAGGCAAUGGUAGAGAGUCAACCACGGAACAGGACUUUUACGGUCCAAACAGUCAGCAUUCCUCAACACCUUGCUCCUUUACUGAACACUCUAUCAAGGUGGAGCUGUGCAGCGAAGAUGGAUCACCACAGCCUGAGAACAGAGGGGCUGUCAGAGAUAGUAGCUGUGGGGAUGACAGAACAGAGCUGAAUGCAGAAGGGAGUGCAGAGCACACUGGGGUCGGACAAGGUAAUCUUUACAGUGAGAUGGCCACUUCCAAUCAUGCUUCCCCUGGACCCAUUCGGCUUGCCAGUGGCAAGCUCCAAUGUGAUGUGUGUGGGAUCAUCUGCAUUGGACCCAAUGUGCUGAUGGUGCACAAGCGAAGUCACACUGGUGAGAGACCUUUUCAAUGUAACCAGUGUGGAGCAUCCUUUACCCAAAAGGGCAACCUGUUACGCCACAUCAAGCUGCAUUCUGGAGAGAAACCUUUCAAAUGCCCCGUUUGCAACUACGCUUGCCGGCGGAGGGAUGCCCUGGCUGGACAUCUAAGAACACAUGCAGUUUCUUCACCGUUGGGGGGAAAACCUUUCAAGUGCAGCUACUGUAGUCGCAGCUACAAACAACAAAGCACUUUGGAUGAUCACCUAGAGCGCUGCCACAGUUUUCAAAAGAGCCAGGACCUGCAGGCUGCAGUCAACACGCUGACAGAACAGCACAGUGGUGAGUCGCUAGAUAUCGAGCCAAUAGCCAAACCUGCACUGGAGCCGUCCAAUGAGAAACCACACUUUGUUGAUAGAUUAGCUGCUAGCAUCACCAAACGAAAGAGGUCGACGCCACAGAAGUUUCUUGCUGACAAGUACAUCCAUCUUGACCUUCCUGAAGCACCUUAUGAUUUGUCCUCUGGUUCAGAGAGGGACGGGGAGCAUUUGACCCCCCAGCCAGCUAAUGAGUGCACUGGAUCGGGCAAGAAACAACUGCAAGACUCCAGGAGGAAACUGUCUCAAAUCCAUCCUGCCUUUUUGUCUGAGCUGCGCACCGUUAUGAGCUCCAUCCAAAGCAAUGUGCCUCCUCCAGGAGCCUCGAGCGGGCUCACAAUGGCGCCUCUGGUACUAUCCGGUCAAGAUGUAGGUGAAGGGUGCGAUGGUCAGCCCUCAGCCCACAGCCACACCACCUCACCCAACGGAUGUCCCGACUCUACAGACACAGAGAGCACAGCUGAAGAGCACAACGCAAGGGCUGCAGCACACACAAGUACCUCCAACAACAACCAGCACCUCCACUACCAAACCGUAGGACUGCCCCACAGCCCUCCCACCUCCAGCCCCAGCCAGGCCAAAGAAACGGACCUAGACUGGGACAGGGCGUGCCCUGCACCCCUCACUCCAAUGAAGAGGAGUGCUGGCUCUCUAUUCCCCUCCAGGGAGGCGGUGCAGGUUCUGCACAGAGACGGCCAGCGCCUACGCUCUUUCCACUGCCGCCACUGCCACAUCCUCUUCCUGGAUCACGUCAUGUUUACCAUUCACAUGGGCUGUCAUGGCUUCCACCAACCAUUUGAGUGCAACAUCUGUGGCCACCGCAGCCGGGAUCGCUAUGAGUUCUCCUCACACAUCAGCAGGGGAGAGCACCAGGUGGCCUGAGGUCGCAGGAUGAUGAAGUAAUGGAGAUGUUAGGAGGCCAUGUUCAUUGUAAUGCUGCGUGGCUGUUACUCUGGAACUGCCAUCUGCCGAAAAGACACUGAUGUAACGUUCGAGUACUGGUGCAGUUCAAACAGCUGACAUGACAGCACCAGUGGAAUGUACAGUUGCACCGCUCCGUGAUGCUCUCGGCCUGGGUCUUAAACCCGCGCCCGCAGCAGAGCAGCUCGCAUCCAUCAAGACCUGGAGAAGAGCUGUUGCACGCUCUACCAGAAGUUCCCACAGUGCCAGUUUUGCCAUUGUAGGAGCAGAAGUUUGGUGAUUUCUCAAAGUAGACCAAGUCCAUAGCGGAAGGGGGUUUAUGAGCAGGGUUUUCCGGUUCCAAGUGGCGAGGGUCUGCUCGGUGCGAGGCACGGUUGCUACCCUUGUUUGCGUAAACGACUCGGGAUGCGCCAUCGAAGCGGUCCUUUAGGAAGUCCCCGAUGGUGCGGAAGCUUGGAAGGCGCAUCCAACAAGUGCGGACGGUGCAGGAGCCUGACAUGCCGUGACACUUGCACUCCUGACGCAUCUCUGAGGACACCAUCUGCACAGAGAGGAGACCACAAUCACUAAUCAAGUAGUUCCCAAGAAAAAGACAUUCCAUACCAUUCUUCCCGCCUCGUUAUUGUGCACAUUGGUGAGGUAGCGCAGAUCUCGUCCUCUCUCGCUGGAAUCCACAAACUCACGGCUAAAAACCCUCCCAAAGUCCACAUUGUCGCUGCAGCCUCCCCAGUGCCAGUCGGGGCCCCCUAAACCUCUGCGGCGGUAAUCGCAAGUGCACGAUUCUAUGGCACCUUCUGAGCAGGAGCGAGCCACCGCGUGGGUCACGCCUGCGCUGGUGAUGGCAAACACAAAGGCUGUCUCCCUGCAGCCUGAAGAAAGCAAGACUUGCCGUCAGAACCUACAUCACAACCCCAAGCAAGAGAGAACAGACUGAAACGGAGGCCUUGUUGCACACCACUUGUCC
Molecule: RNA transcript, 2796 nt
Organism: Entelurus aequoreus (snake pipefish)
Lineage: Eukaryota; Metazoa; Chordata; Actinopteri; Syngnathiformes; Syngnathidae
Gene name: zinc finger protein Eos-like
Exons: 10
Source: RefSeq, a predicted model, not a curated record